UCCUCAAUAGCUCAGCAGAUAGAGCAACGGACUGUGCUGUUAUUAAAUAUGCGUUUGUCCCUGGUUCAAGUCCAGGUUGAGGAGCCA
This 87-nucleotide transfer RNA is filed under the name Colwellia sp. BRX10-3. RNAcentral describes it as "tRNA-OTHER". It matches the Rfam family "tRNA". Rfam says of the family: Transfer RNA (tRNA) molecules are approximately 80 nucleotides in length. Their secondary structure includes four short double-helical elements and three loops (D, anti-codon, and T loops). Further hydrogen bonds mediate the characteristic L-shaped molecular structure. tRNAs have two regions of fundamental functional importance: the anti-codon, which is responsible for specific mRNA codon recognition, and the 3' end, to which the tRNAs corresponding amino acid is attached (by aminoacyl-tRNA synthetases). tRNAs cope with the degeneracy of the genetic code in two manners: having more than one tRNA (with a specific anti-codon) for a particular amino acid; and 'wobble' base-pairing, i.e. permitting non-standard base-pairing at the 3rd anti-codon position. Lineage: Bacteria; Pseudomonadati; Pseudomonadota; Gammaproteobacteria; Alteromonadales; Colwelliaceae. The record is from RNAcentral.